This 468-nucleotide ribosomal RNA is filed under the name uncultured bacterium. Its description in RNAcentral is "partial 16S ribosomal RNA". It matches the Rfam family "Bacterial small subunit ribosomal RNA", at positions 28 to 507 of the family's 1533-position model. The record is from RNAcentral.
GACGAACGCUGGCGGCGCGCCUAACACAUGCAAGUCGAACGGAGUCAAGAGGAGCUUGCUUUUCUUGACUUAGUGGCGAACGGGUGAGUAACGCGUGAGUAACCUGCCCUGGAGUGGGGGACAACAGUUGGAAACGACUGCUAAUACCGCAUAAGCCCACGGAUCCGCAUGGAUCUGCGGGAAAAGGAUUUAUUCGCUUCAGGAUGGACUCGCGUCCAAUUAGCUAGUUGGUGAGGUAACGGCCCACCAAGGCGACGAUUGGUAGCCGGACUGAGAGGUUGAACGGCCACAUUGGGACUGAGACACGGCCCAGACUCCUACGGGAGGCAGCAGUGGGGGAUAUUGCACAAUGGGGGAAACCCUGAUGCAGCGACGCCGCGUGGAGGAAGAAGGUUUUCGGAUUGUAAACUCCUGUCGUUAGGGACGAUAAUGACGAUACCUAACAAGAAAGCACCGGCUAACUACGUG